AACGUAGGGGACAAGCGUUAUCCGGAUUUACUGGGCGUAAAGCGCCCGUAGGCGGCCUGACAAGUUGGACGUGAAAGCUCCUGGCUUAACUGGAGAGGCCGUUCAAAACUGUCAAGCUAGAGUCUGGAAGAGGAGAGCGGAAUUCCCGGUGUAGUGGUGGAAUGCGUAGAGAUCGGGAGGAACACCAGUGGCGAAAGCGGCUCUCUGGUCCAAAACUGACGCUGAGGGGCGAAAGCGUGGGGAGCGAACGGG
This 252-nucleotide ribosomal RNA is filed under the name uncultured bacterium. RNAcentral describes it as "partial 16S ribosomal RNA". It matches the Rfam family "Bacterial small subunit ribosomal RNA", at positions 524 to 776 of the family's 1533-position model. The record is from RNAcentral.